Molecule: ribosomal RNA, 1188 nt
Filed under: Foraminifera environmental sample
Lineage: Eukaryota; Foraminifera
Description: partial Bacterial large subunit ribosomal RNA
Rfam family: Bacterial large subunit ribosomal RNA
Source: RNAcentral
UCAAGUGACUAAGCGUGCACGGUGGAUGCCUUGGCAUCUGGAGGCGAUGAAAGACGUAGUAGCCUGCGAUAAGCUUCGGUGAGGUGGCAAACAACCUUUGACCCGGAGAUCUCUGAAUGGGGAAACCCACCUGUCAUCAGGCAGGUAUCCUUAACUGAAUACAUAGGUUAAGGAGGCGAACCGGGAGAACUGAAACAUCUAAGUACCCCGAGGAAAAGAAAUCAACCGAGAUUCCCUUAGUAGUGGCGAGCGAACGGGGACCAGCCCUUAAGUUGUAUUGAGAUUAGCGGAACGCUCUGGAAAGUGCGGCCAUAGUGGGUGAUAGCCCUGUACGCGAAAGUCUCUUUGCAAUGAAAUCGAGUAGGACGGAGCACGAGAAACUUUGUCUGAAUAUGGGGGGACCAUCCUCCAAGGCUAAAUACUCCUGACUGACCGAUAGUGAACCAGUACCGUGAGGGAAAGGCGAAAAGAACCCCGGAGAGGGGAGUGAAAUAGAUCCUGAAACCGUAUGCGUACAAGCAGUGGGAGCCCACUUUGUUGGGUGACUGCGUACCUUUUGUAUAAUGGGUCAGCGACUUAUUUUCAGUGGCGAGCUUAACCGAAUAGGGGAGGCGUAGCGAAAGCGAGUGUUAAUAGCGCGUUUAGUCGCUGGGAAUAGACCCGAAACCGGGCGAUCUAUCCAUGAGCAGGUUGAAGGUUGAGUAACAUCAACUGGAGGACCGAACCCACUGUCUUUGAAAAGCCAGGGGAUGACUUGUGGAUAGGAGUGAAAGGCUAAUCAAGCCCGGAGAUAGCUGGUUCUCCUCGAAAACUAUUUAGGUAGUGCCUCGUGUCUAACCAUGGGGGGUAGAGCACUGUUAAGGCUAGGGGGUCAUCCCGACUUACCAACCCUUUGCAAACUCCGAAUACCCAUGAGUUCAAUCACGGGAGACACACGGCGGGUGCUAACGUCCGUCGUGGAAAGGGAAACAACCCAGACCGUCAGCUAAGGUCCCAAAGUCAUGGUUAAGUGGGAAACGAUGUGGGAAGGCAUAGACAGCUAGGAGGUUGGCUUAGAAGCAGCCACCCUUUAAAGAAAGCGUAAUAGCUCACUAGUCGAGUCGGCCUGCGCGGAAGAUGUAACGGGGCUAAAACUAUAUGCCGAAGCUGCGGAUUUGCAAUUUAUUGCAAGUGGUAGGGGAGCGUUCU